CGGAGUAUAGCAUAUAUAAUGCUUUUUACUUACACUAAUAACAAAACGAAAGUUUAUUCCGCCU
RNAcentral lists this transfer RNA (64 nucleotides) under Prosellodrilus biauriculatus. RNAcentral's name for it is "tRNA-Val". Lineage: Eukaryota; Metazoa; Annelida; Clitellata; Crassiclitellata; Lumbricidae. The record is from RNAcentral.